This 301-nucleotide ribosomal RNA is filed under the name uncultured bacterium. RNAcentral describes it as "partial 16S ribosomal RNA". It matches the Rfam family "Bacterial small subunit ribosomal RNA", at positions 509 to 809 of the family's 1533-position model. The record is from RNAcentral.
CAGCAGCCACGGGAAUACGGAGGGUGCAAGCGUUAAUCGGAAUUACUGGGCGUAAAGCGCACGCAGGCGGUCUGACAAGUCAGAUGUGAAAUCCCCGGGCUUAACCUGGGAACUGCAUUUGAAACUGUCAGGCUGGAGUCUUGUAGAGGGGGGUAGAAUUCCAGGUGUAGCGGUGAAAUGCGUAGAGAUCUGGAGGAAUACCGGUGGCGAAGGCGGCCCCCUGGACAAAGACUGACGCUCAGGUGCGAAAGCGUGGGGAGCAAACAGGAUUAGAUACCCCUGUAGUCCCUGUCUCUUAUAU